Molecule: long non-coding RNA, 426 nt
Organism: Hyla sarda
Lineage: Eukaryota; Metazoa; Chordata; Amphibia; Anura; Hylidae
Exons: 4
Source: RefSeq, a predicted model, not a curated record
CCAUCAUCAUUAUAUUUUUCUUCAUCAGUACAAAUCUUUUUCUUUCUAAGGGAGUCCUCUACCCGUGCAAAAUUUCUCCCACAUCUGAAUAAAUCAGCGCUACCAUCUCACUCACUACAGAGUCGACUAUAAAAUGUGCAGGACAGGAGCCAACUGGAACAAGGAAUUCAGUACUGAGGAUUACAACUGAAUCAGCUGCUAAAAGAGAAAUGCACACUACUACAGCCAAGUGACUUGCAGUACCUGUAAAAGAACUUAACAUACCCAGAACGCCUGCAGAUCCAGGUCCAGUGUUGCCAUCACCUGCACCUGAGCUGCUUAGACCAACAGCCCUGCUGACAUUCUCAGGCUUAAACUCUUCUUCAUUACCCCUACCACUCCUCUCAAAGACCAACAACUCACCCAGUUCACAAAAGCUGUAUUAUC